GUCUAAGGCUAUACCACCCUGAACGCGCCCGAUCUUGUCUGAUCUCGGAAGCUAAGCAGGGUCGGGCCUGGUUAGUACUUCGAUGGGAGACCGCCUGGAAAUACCGGGUGCUGUAGGCU
Molecule: ribosomal RNA, 119 nt
Filed under: Mus spicilegus (steppe mouse)
Lineage: Eukaryota; Metazoa; Chordata; Mammalia; Rodentia; Muridae
Source: RNAcentral